This 393-nucleotide unclassified non-coding RNA is filed under the name fungal sp. Its description in RNAcentral is "partial internal transcribed spacer region". The stretch from base 1 to 46 matches the Rfam family "Eukaryotic small subunit ribosomal RNA", at positions 1786 to 1831 of the family's 1831-position model. The record is from RNAcentral. Lineage: Eukaryota; Fungi.
AAGUCGUAACAAGGUUUCCGUAGGUGAACCUGCGGAAGGAUCAUUAACACAUCCCUUUCAUAUCUACCUUGUCGCACUGGUCUUCAAUGAACCUUUACUGAAGUAAGUCUAGAUUAAGGUCAUGGUUGGAUUCUUUUCUCUCUGCUUCGGCGAGAGAGGGAUUGGCCUUUCUAGAUAGCACUCUUCUUGAGGUGCAACUUACGCAGUCUUGGUAUAUCAGUCCCUAACCAUGACUGGCCCCUUUUUCUCUUUUUUAACCAUGAUUUUUAUUCUGAAUCGGUUUAGAUUGAGAAGGGCUUCUGAUUGGAAGUCUGCCUCUCUGAGCCUUUAAUGGAGAAAUCCAUUAAAAAUUAAAAUAAAACACAACUCUUAACAGCGGAUAUCUCGGUUCUC